UUCCUUGUUAACUGUUGUCUGUCAUUAAUAAAGCAAUUAUAAAAAUACACAUAAUGACAACAGAUUUAUCUUUACAAAUGUUCGCAAAAUUUUUGAUUUGGAUACAAAAAACCAAGUGAAAAUGAUACUGGAAAGACUGUUUACCGUUUAACUCCUGUCCCAAUCUAACCUAGUGGGUUCAAAAAUAAGGGACCGCGCUGGAAACAUGAGUGGAUUAAAAGGAUCAGCCCUUUUUGAAUUAAUAAUCAAAGUAGUAACCAGCUAGAAGUCGUAACCUGCUCUUAUGAAAGGAUUUCUCGACGUGAAAUUGUUAAUUUUAUUCAACAACGCCAAGAAACAGAGCUCGCUCAAGAAACAGAAAAGAAAGAGAAAGAUGAAAAAAUAUUCUGUUGAACAAUACUGUUGUUUUAUUUAUAAAUUAUUCUCCUAUAUUU
This is a long non-coding RNA of Hydra vulgaris (swiftwater hydra), 434 nucleotides long. RefSeq lists it as uncharacterized. The record is from RefSeq and is a predicted model, not a curated record. NCBI's taxonomy places the organism in Eukaryota, Metazoa, Cnidaria, Hydrozoa, Anthoathecata, Hydridae.